This is a long non-coding RNA of Macaca fascicularis (crab-eating macaque), 1834 nucleotides long. The record is from Ensembl. Lineage: Eukaryota; Metazoa; Chordata; Mammalia; Primates; Cercopithecidae.
AAUGAUUCAAGCCAAUCUGGAAGGAAAUAGACCUCCAGGCUGUGGGAAGCAGGUGUUGGGAGGAGGGGGCAAGACGGGGCCUUCACCUGCACCAGCCACGGUGGCCGGGGUGCCCCCUCCUGGGCAAUCAACGAGGACGAUGUGGAGAAGCACAGGCCCCCUCCCCUUCCUGUUGGCACCCACACCCAGAGCCCUCACGCUGCCCUCUCUGACGGAGCCCAGGGCCACGUGUGCACACCCCUGCUGGGGGUGAGUUGGAGGGGACAUGGCAGGGAUAUGGGAGAUGGGAGAUGGCACAGGAGGGACUGCCUCCUGGACAGAGACCAGGGGGCAGAGACCAGUGGGACCCAGGGACACUGGGCCCUGCCCUUUCUUCUUACUCCAUGCCAGCCGGGCCCACUGCGCACUUCCUCAUAAACCAACUGUCGCCUGCACGGGGCCGGGCGCCAGCGCAUGCCGUCUGCUGAGUGCCGUUCAUCUCCGCGCUUGCUCAUUUCCACGGCGGCUGACAGGCACGCUCUGAGCGUCCCCAGGCUCUGAGCCAGGUGGCUGGGAGUGCCGUGUGACCCUGCCCUGGGGGAGGCCUCAGGCCAGGGACCUGCAAAGCCAGCACCCAACCAAGUCGCCUAGAGCUUUACUAACGCUGAGGCAGCAGGUGCCAGGAGACAGGGGUUCCUGCAAGAAAGGUCCUCACCCCCGGGACCGUCUUCCACAUGCUCUCCCUCAUCCUGGUGAGCUCCACCCCUCCUCCCAGCAGAGCUCCUGGACUGCCCACUUCUCUGCAGCCCGGGCAGGACCGUCCAGGUCAGCGAACCUGCGUCCCGCUGCUGGCAAAGCCAGGUCCCUGCGCCCCGGUGUUCUGCCCGGCUGCUGCCUGCUGAGGCUUGCAGGCCAUGAACUUCUCAGAACAAAUACCCCCGUGAAGCCAGCCAUGGGCCACGAGGACACACUUCUAGGGGCCUGCCUUCCGUGUGGGCUCAGGUCUCCCGGACAGCCUGGGCACAGCAUGGGCGCCCGAGGACAUACCCAACCCACAGCUGAUUCUGCUCGGAGGUGGUUUCCACAGGGAGCCUCGGUUUCCAGGUGAAGCACAUCAUUAGUGCACUGGCACCAGGGAGUGGAGACACAACCGGCUCUCCCCACCUCUCGUGCGGCUGGCAGCCCGGGCAGCCUGGGGCUCCUCUACCGGCUGGGGGAAAGGGGGUUGUUGGAAGCCAGGCCCUUGCCACACUUGGCCCUUCCAGGACUGGAGGGUCCCACGGCCCCGCGUCCCGGCUUCCACAACUCAAAGAAAAGUCAAGGCCCCCGAGACCAGUGACGGAGCUUGUGCCGCCCGGACCUGGCAGCAGCUGCUCUGUCUACAGAGGCAGCAUUUAAUUUUGCUUUCCACAACGAGACUGCAUUCUGGAUACAGCUGUGGAGACAGAUAAGGAACCUGUGCAUGGGGGAAAUACGCCCCUGCCAGAGCCCCCAUGGGUGCCCAGGAGAGGAGGGGCCCCACGCAGCCACUGCACCUGCCAGAGCCUCCAGGGGUGCCUGGGAGAGGAAGGGCCCCACGCUGCCACUGCACAAGGAGCCGGGGCCACUUCCCCAGGUCGUAGACAGCUCUGAAGGUGAGUCCGUGUGUCCUGCCUCCUUCUAGAAAAGCCUCUGACCCGACUUCAGGCAGGGACUGACCCAGGGAAGGCGCAGUGCCCGCUGCACAGGCGCCCAGGCGAAGCCCCCACCAGCGCCUGGCACACCCAGCCACCUCUCUUGUUGCUCAGUAAGAAGCCGAAGGUGGGAGCUUCAAAGAGCUCGGUGCACAUACAUCAAACGCCACCCAGGGAGACCC